UAGCUGAUGAUUUCUUUAGAUUUGCAAUCUAAUGUUUUAAUUAAACUAAUCGGCUG
RNAcentral lists this transfer RNA (56 nucleotides) under Centruroides vittatus. Its description in RNAcentral is "tRNA-Cys". The record is from RNAcentral. Lineage: Eukaryota; Metazoa; Arthropoda; Arachnida; Scorpiones; Buthidae.